Molecule: long non-coding RNA, 337 nt
Organism: Tigriopus californicus
Lineage: Eukaryota; Metazoa; Arthropoda; Copepoda; Harpacticoida; Harpacticidae
Exons: 2
Source: RefSeq, a predicted model, not a curated record
AUCAAAGUCGCCAUCCGGAAAACUUUGUGCCCGCUUUGUUUGGCCAGACUGAUCGUGUUCAAUACAUUGGCGUUUCUGUCAAGCGUGGUAUUAUGGAAUAUUACUCCGUUUUUGAGGAAUGAUGGCUCGUCGGCGUUUAACUCAUUGAAUUUGGUCCGAAGGAAGCGACAUUUGGCCAAUAUACUACUACUUAACAAGCGGGAGGAAGAAGUAAACGAAUCGGAAAAAACUCUGGUUCAAAGUCUUUCCAAAUUCCAAGAAGUAUAGUCAAUGACCAAAAUAUAGAAAGUUACUUAGUUUUAUCAAAUGAUCGAAAAUAAAGCGCAUUUCCAUUCUU